RNAcentral lists this ribosomal RNA (253 nucleotides) under uncultured bacterium. Its description in RNAcentral is "partial 16S ribosomal RNA". It matches the Rfam family "Bacterial small subunit ribosomal RNA", at positions 524 to 776 of the family's 1533-position model. The record is from RNAcentral.
UACAGAGGGUGCAAGCGUUGUUCGGAAUUAUUGGGCGUAAAGAGUUCGUAGGCGGUUUGUCGCGUCUGCCGUGAAAGUCCGGGGCUCAACUCCGGAUCUGCGGUGGGUACGGGCAGACUAGAGUGAUGUAGGGGAGACUGGAAUUCCUGGUGUAGCGGUGAAAUGCGCAGAUAUCAGGAGGAACACCGAUGGCGAAGGCAGGUCUCUGGGCAUUAACUGACGCUGAGGAGCGAAAGCAUGGGGAGCGAACAGG